This 301-nucleotide unclassified non-coding RNA is filed under the name Mansonella mariae. RNAcentral describes it as "partial ITS1". Lineage: Eukaryota; Metazoa; Nematoda; Chromadorea; Rhabditida; Onchocercidae. The record is from RNAcentral.
ACGAGCUUCAAAACAAAUACAUAAUAACAAAAUUAAAUGUUAUCCAUAAUUAUUAUUACUAUUCAUUUUUAUUAGCAACAUGCAUAUUAGUUGCUAUUUCAUUAAUAUUAAUGAAUAGUUAAAUAAUAAUUGAUACAAUUGAAUUAACGGUGUUAUUCGUUGGUGUCUAUACUUUAUCCAAAUUAUCGCCUAAACCGUCGAUAAUGAUGAAGAUAAAGCGAUAGCUUGAUUAAUUUUUAUAUGAAAAAUUAAUUAAGUAGACUUAAUAAGCAUUUAUGCUAAAUAUGCUACCAACAAAUAA